UCCCUGGUAGUAUAUCGGUUAGUACACGCGCCUGUCAUCUGGGUGCAUCACCGCGCGAAAGCUGGGUUCGACUCCCAGCCAGGGAG
Non-coding RNA from Lentinula aff. detonsa, 86 nucleotides. NCBI's taxonomy places the organism in Eukaryota, Fungi, Basidiomycota, Agaricomycetes, Agaricales, Omphalotaceae. The record is from the annotation of a GenBank genome assembly.